RNAcentral lists this ribosomal RNA (253 nucleotides) under uncultured bacterium. RNAcentral's name for it is "partial 16S ribosomal RNA". It matches the Rfam family "Bacterial small subunit ribosomal RNA", at positions 524 to 776 of the family's 1533-position model. The record is from RNAcentral.
GACGUAGGGGGCGAGCGUUGUCCGGAUUUAUUGGGCGUAAAGGGUGCGUAGGCGGCGCGGUAAGUCGGGUGUGAAAUCUCGGAGCUUAACUCCGAAACUGCAUUCGAUACUGCGGUGCUUGAGGACUGGAGAGGAGACUGGAAUUUACGGUGUAGCAGUGAAAUGCGUAGAGAUCGUAAGGAAGACCAGUGGCGAAGGCGAGUCUCUGGACAGUUCCUGACACUGAGGCACGAAGGCCAGGGGAGCAAACGGG